AACGAACGCUGGCGGCGUGCCUAACACAUGCAAGUCGAGCGGAGAUUAUAGCAAUAUAAUCUUAGCGGCGGACGGGUGAGUAACGCGUGGGCAACCUGCCUCAUACUGGGGGAUAACACUGGGAAACUAGUGCUAAUACCGCAUAAUAUCACUAGAUGGCAUCAUUUGGUGAUCAAAGGAGCAAUCCGGUGUGAGAUGGGCCCGCUUCCGAUUAGCUAGUUGGUGAUGUAACGGACAACCAAGGCGACGAUCGGUAGCCGAACUGAGAGGUUGAUCGGCCACAUUGGGACGGAGACACGGCCCAGACUCCUACGGGAGGCAGCAGUGGGGAAUAUUGCGCAAUGAGGGAAACCCUGACGCAGCAACGCCGCGUGAAGGAUGAAGGUCUUCGGAUUGUAGACUUCUUUGAUUGGGGACGAAUAAUGAUGGUACCCAAAGAACAAGCCACGGCUAACUACGUGCCAGCAGCCGCGGUAA
Molecule: ribosomal RNA, 477 nt
Filed under: uncultured bacterium
Lineage: Bacteria
Description: partial 16S ribosomal RNA
Rfam family: Bacterial small subunit ribosomal RNA
Source: RNAcentral